ACGUUAAUCGGGGCAGGGUGAGUCGACCCCUAAGGCGAGGCCGAAAGGCGUAGUCGAUGGGAAACAGGUUAAUAUUCCUGUACUUGGUGUUACUGCGAAGGGGGGACGGAGAAGGCUAUGUUGGCCGGGCGACGGUUGUCCCGGUUUAAGCGUGUAGGCUGGUUUUCCAGGCAAAUCCGGAAAAUCAAGGCUGAGGCGUGAUGACGAGGCACUACGGUGCUGAAGCAACAAAUGCCCUGCUUCCAGGAAAAGCCUCUAAGCAUCAGGUAACAUCAAAUCGUACCCCAAACCGACACAGGUGGUCAGGUAGAGAAUACCAAGGCGCUUGAGAGAACUCGGGUGAAGGAACUAGGCAAAAUGGUGCCGUAACUUCGGGAGAAGGCACGCUGAUAUGUAGGUGAAGCGACUUGCUCGUGGAGCUGAAAUCAGUCGAAGAUACCAGCUGGCUGCAACUGUUUAUUAAAAACACAGCACUGUGCAAACACGAAAGUGGACGUAUACGGUGUGACGCCUGCCCGGUGCCGGAAGGUUAAUUGAUGGGGUUAGCGGUAACGCGAAGCUCUUGAUCGAAGCCCCGGUAAACGGCGGCCGUAACUAUAACGGUCCUAAGGUAGCGAAAUUCCUUGUCGGGUAAGUUCCGACCUGCACGAAUGGCGUAAUGAUGGCCAGGCUGUCUCCACCCGAGACUCAGUGAAAUUGAACUCGCUGUGAAGAUGCAGUGUACCCGCGGCAAGACGGAAAGACCCCGUGAACCUUUACUAUAGCUUGACACUGAACAUUGAGCCUUGAUGUGUAGGAUAGGUGGGAGGCUUUGAAGUGUGGACGCCAGUCUGCAUGGAGCCGACCUUGAAAUACCACCCUUUAAUGUUUGAUGUUCUAACGUUGGCCCCUGAUCGGGGUUGCGGACAGUGUCUGGUGGGUAGUUUGACUGGGGCGGUCUCCUCCUAAAGAGUAACGGAGGAGCACGAAGGUUGGCUAAUCCUGGUCGGACAUCAGGAGGUUAGUGCAAUGGCAUAAGCCAGCUUGACUGCGAGCGUGACGGCGCGAGCAGGUGCGAAAGCAGGUCAUAGUGAUCCGGUGGUUCUGAAUGGAAGGGCCAUCGCUCAACGGAUAAAAGGUACUCCGGGGAUAACAGGCUGAUACCGCCCAAGAGUUCAUAUCGACGGCGGUGUUUGGCACCUCGAUGUCGGCUCAUCACAUCCUGGGGCUGAAGUAGGUCCCAAGGGUAUGGCUGUUCGCCAUUUAAAGUGGUACGCGAGCUGGGUUUAGAACGUCGUGAGACAGUUCGGUCCCUAUCUGCCGUGGGCGCUGGAGAACUGAGGGGGGCUGCUCCUAGUACGAGAGGACCGGAGUGGACGCAUCACUGGUGUUCGGGUUGUCAUGCCAAUGGCACUGCCCGGUAGCUAAAUGCGGAAGAGAUAAGUGCUGAAAGCAUCUAAGCACGAAACUUGCCCCGAGAUGAGUUCUCCCUGACUCCUUGAGAGUCCUGAAGGA
RNAcentral lists this ribosomal RNA (1494 nucleotides) under Escherichia coli. RNAcentral describes it as "partial 23S ribosomal RNA". It matches the Rfam family "Bacterial large subunit ribosomal RNA", at positions 1362 to 2844 of the family's 2925-position model. Lineage: Bacteria; Pseudomonadati; Pseudomonadota; Gammaproteobacteria; Enterobacterales; Enterobacteriaceae. The record is from RNAcentral.